UAAUAGGCAACCUUCAAAUAAUUCAUGAACUUUGUGGUAGAGAAUUCUCUUUAGCAUCUAAAGUGCAUGCUUAAUAAUGAAACACUGAGCUUCCUCUGAAGCUUGCCGCUGAUCUGUGUUUGAGUUUUCUGUGUUUUGUAUAUUGGCACCCAAAGUUCAAAGCAAGUAUAAUCCUGUUUAGUGUUCGUUUCAGGAUUUUGUUUCUUCUCGAGCGCGUUUCUGAGACAAGUCGAUGCGAAGAACAGGCCACUCUGGUUAUUGACGCCAUUGAUACGUAAUGAUGAUGGAGGGACACCUAUGAUGAGACGGUUAAUCUGCAUAUACAUAUAACAUCGUUGGUAGGCAUGUGUUCUGAGAUGGUGGCCUCUGCAUUUCUCUAAGUGAUAGUGGAGGGAAAAACGGCAAAAAGGAAAGAAAAAAAAGCUUUUUCUGAUGAAAAAAAUCCUUUAGACUGACGUUCAGUUAUUCUUCAUUGUUAUUCAAUUUUUCGUUGUUUCAUCAGCUAUAUCAAAACAGUGGAUUUAGGAAAUAUAUACCAUAACCAGAGAUUAUGUUUGUAAUCUCUUGACGGUGAAGUGGUCAGAAGACGUGAAGGAAUGAAGAUUAUUGACUAAAAAAUCUCGCUCACGAAAGGAGGCAAAAGAGUAAACUGAACGGUGUGAUGAAAUAAUUUCGAUAUGACUUUCGGGGGAAGUGUCAUAGACGACGCCAAUUUUUCCCCGGACUCUUAAGGAAGGCAAAUAUACACUGGGAUCAGUAAGCUGCUCUAAAAAUGAACAUCAAAGUCUUCACAGUUGCAAUGGCGAUAGUAUUUAUCGUUUGUAUUCCUGAGGGAGAUUCAUUUACAGCUGGGGCAGGUGGACUCCCAAAGGGAAAAAGACCAAAAGCAGGAAAACGGCAGCAGAAUCUUGCCCUAUCUUCAGAAGAAAUCGAGUUUUGCAGGGCAGUAGAAGCUUACUGCGCGUCGAAAAAGAGGAACUUUACAUAGAUCUGCUAGAAAUGAAUCCAAAGGUGAACUCGUGUUAGCACAUUGAAUUUUAGGAACUCGAGACAGACUCGAUUGCUUCACUGGCUAUUAAAAUGUUGUAAUAAAACGCACUUAUAAAGUGUAUUCUUGGCUGA
RNAcentral lists this long non-coding RNA (1122 nucleotides) under Pocillopora damicornis (cauliflower coral). RNAcentral's name for it is "uncharacterized LOC113673996, transcript variant X1". Lineage: Eukaryota; Metazoa; Cnidaria; Anthozoa; Scleractinia; Pocilloporidae. The record is from RNAcentral.